Molecule: ribosomal RNA, 390 nt
Filed under: uncultured bacterium
Lineage: Bacteria
Description: bacterial SSU rRNA
Rfam family: Bacterial small subunit ribosomal RNA
Source: RNAcentral
GACGAACGCUGGCGGCGUGCUUAACACAUGCAAGUCGAGCGGUAAGGCCCUUUCGGGGGUACACGAGCGGCGAACGGGUGAGUAACACGUGGGUGACCUGCCUUUAGCUCUGGGAUAAGCCUGGGAAACUGGGUCUAAUACCGGAUACGACUCCGCGGUGCAUGUUGUGGGGUGGAAAGCCUUGUGCGGCUGGAGAUGGGCCCGCGGCCUAUCAGCUUGGUUGGUGGGGUGAUGGCCUACCAAGGCGACGACGGGUAGCCGGCCUGAGAGGGCGACCGGCCACACUGGGACUGAGACACGGCCCAGACUCCUACGGGAGGCAGCAGUGGGGAAUCUUGCGCAAUGGGCGAAAGCCUGACGCAGCGACGCCGCGUGAGGGAUGACGGCCUC